Molecule: ribosomal RNA, 253 nt
Filed under: uncultured bacterium
Lineage: Bacteria
Description: partial 16S ribosomal RNA
Rfam family: Bacterial small subunit ribosomal RNA
Source: RNAcentral
UACGGAGGGGGCAAGCGUUAUUCGGAAUUAUUGGGCGUAAAGGGCGCGUAGGCGGCUAGAUGUGUCAAAGGUGAAAUCCCUCGGCUCAACUGAGGAACUGCCUUUGAAACUGUCUGGCUUGAGGCCGGGAGAGGGUAGCGGAAUUCCCAGUGUAGCGGUGAAAUGCGUAGAUAUUGGGAGGAACACCAGUGGCGAAAGCGGCUCACUGGAUCUCUUCUGACGCUGAGGCACGAAAGCUAGGGUAGCAAACGGG